Molecule: ribosomal RNA, 253 nt
Filed under: uncultured bacterium
Lineage: Bacteria
Description: partial 16S ribosomal RNA
Rfam family: Bacterial small subunit ribosomal RNA
Source: RNAcentral
UACGAAGGUGGCAAGCGUUACUCGGAAUUACUAGGCGUAAAGGGCAGGUAGGUGGUUCGGUAAGUCUGUUGUGUAAGCUCCCGGCUUAACUGGGAGAGGUCAACGGAAACUACCGGACUUGAGUAUAGGAGAGGUUACUGGAAUUCCCGGUGUAGCGGUGAAAUGCGCAGAGAUCGGGAGGAACACCAAUGGCGAAAGCAGGUAACUGGACUAUUACUGACACUCAGCUGCGAAAGCUAGGGGAGCAAACAGG